RNAcentral lists this ribosomal RNA (393 nucleotides) under uncultured bacterium. RNAcentral's name for it is "bacterial SSU rRNA". It matches the Rfam family "Bacterial small subunit ribosomal RNA", at positions 28 to 428 of the family's 1533-position model. The record is from RNAcentral.
GACGAACGCUGGCGGCGUGCUUAACACAUGCAAGUCGAGCGGUAAGGCCCUUCGAGGUACACGAGCGGCGAACGGGUGAGUAACACGUGGGUGACCUGCCCUUAGCUCUGGGAUAAGCCUGGGAAACUGGGUCUAAUACCGGAUAUGACCUCAUGACGCAUGUUGUGGGGUGGAAAGCCUUGUGCGGCUAGGGAUGGGCCCGCGGCCUAUCAGCUUGUUGGUGGGGUGAUGGCCUACCAAGGCGACGACGGGUAGCCGGCCUGAGAGGGCGACCGGCCACACUGGGACUGAGACACGGCCCAGACUCCUACGGGAGGCAGCAGUGGGGAAUCUUGCGCAAUGGGCGAAAGCCUGACGCAGCGACGCCGCGUGAGGGAUGACGGCCUGGUGUAA